GAGAGAAUGAAAGCACAAGAAAAAAGAGGAGUGAACUGCAUGCAUUACUCAAGUAUAAGGCUAUAAGCAUGUACUAGGAGCAACAGUCCAUAAAAUACAGCGAAAUUAACCAGCAAAGAUUGUAGUCCUUUCCAGAAAUAAUAUAAAAAGAAUUAAUGAGAGGAAAGAAGAGGGCUUCAUUGGAUAGUGGGCAGUUUUGAAUUUUUGAAUUCAGAAUUUGAGACUAAAAUAAAGAUUCACACCUCAAUAGAAUGGCAUUAUUUUCUAUUAUGUACAUUUUCAUUAUGAUAGUGCUUUUCCAAAAUUGACAAAAUUUGGAUUGGAAAUCUAUUAACAGAUCUGUAAUUCUAUCCAUUCUUAUUUCAGUUAAAAAAAGUCCUAUCCAUUAUUAUUUUGAUCCAAUUCAAAUUUUCACCCAAUUGAGCACCUCCAACAUAUUUUUUUUCACAGUAGCAGAAACUGCCAAACAAGAGGGGAAAUAGCAGGUCAAGAGAUAUCAGUUCAUUGAAAAAGAAAAUCAAAUAUGUCAAAUAACAUACAUUACAAGACAUUCCAUCUUUCACAGCUUCAAUAUGAACCACAAGCUAGGCAAAUCACUUAAUUUGUCAAACAACCUACUUUUAGAUCCACAGUAAAAAUUCCAAUACUAAAAUAUCACACACACAGAUGCUGAAAGUUGUGUUACUCAGACCUUUCAGUUCUUGAAGUACCAAUGACCAACACUUUAAAAUGACUAAGGGUAUGGAUGAUGAACACUCCAAAACAAGGAACUUGGCAACCCAGAAACUGGUGCAGUAGUCCUUGUACUUUCAAG
RNAcentral lists this unclassified non-coding RNA (814 nucleotides) under Hevea brasiliensis (rubber tree). Lineage: Eukaryota; Viridiplantae; Streptophyta; Magnoliopsida; Malpighiales; Euphorbiaceae. The record is from RNAcentral.